GGGGAUUUAGCUCAGUGGUAGAGUGCUUGCCUAGUAAGCGCAAGGCCCUGGGUUCGGUCCCCAGCUCCA
Molecule: non-coding RNA, 69 nt
Organism: Rattus norvegicus (Norway rat)
Lineage: Eukaryota; Metazoa; Chordata; Mammalia; Rodentia; Muridae
Source: Rfam